AGCAGCCGCGGUAAUUCCAGCUCCAAUAGCGUAUAUUAAAGUUGUUGCAGUUAAAAAGCUCGUAGUUGAAUUUCGGGGUUAGUAGGUUGGUCGUGCCACUGGUAUGUACUGGUUCUACUGAUCCCUCCUUCUUGUAGAACCGUAAUGCCAUUCACUUGGUGUUGCGGGGAAACAGGACUGUUACUUUGAAAAAAUUAGAGUGUUUAAAGCAGGCUAACGCUUGAAUACAUUAGCAUGGAAUAAUGAAAUAGGACGUUCGAUCCUAUUUUGUUGGUUUCUAGGAUUGACGUAAUGAUUAAUAGGGAUAGUUGGGGGCAUUAGUAUUCAAUUGUCAGAGGUGAAAUUCUUGGAUUUAUUGAAGACUAACUACUGCGAAAGCAUUUGCCAAGGAUGUUUCCAUUAAUCAAGAACGAAAGUUAGGGGAUCGAAGACGAUCAGAUACCGUCGUAGUCUUAACCAUAAACUAUGCCGACUAGGGAUCGGAUGAUGUUAAUUUUUUAAUGACUCAUUCGGCGCCUUA
RNAcentral lists this ribosomal RNA (520 nucleotides) under uncultured Glomeromycotina. RNAcentral describes it as "SSU rRNA". It matches the Rfam family "Eukaryotic small subunit ribosomal RNA", at positions 569 to 1090 of the family's 1831-position model. Lineage: Eukaryota; Fungi; Glomeromycota. The record is from RNAcentral.